GAGGAUAUAGGUCAGUGGUAGAGCGCAUGCUUAGCAUGCACGAGGUCCUGGGUUCAACCCCCAGCACCUCCA
Transfer RNA from Camelus ferus (Wild Bactrian camel), 72 nucleotides. It matches the Rfam family "tRNA". Rfam says of the family: Transfer RNA (tRNA) molecules are approximately 80 nucleotides in length. Their secondary structure includes four short double-helical elements and three loops (D, anti-codon, and T loops). Further hydrogen bonds mediate the characteristic L-shaped molecular structure. tRNAs have two regions of fundamental functional importance: the anti-codon, which is responsible for specific mRNA codon recognition, and the 3' end, to which the tRNAs corresponding amino acid is attached (by aminoacyl-tRNA synthetases). tRNAs cope with the degeneracy of the genetic code in two manners: having more than one tRNA (with a specific anti-codon) for a particular amino acid; and 'wobble' base-pairing, i.e. permitting non-standard base-pairing at the 3rd anti-codon position. Lineage: Eukaryota; Metazoa; Chordata; Mammalia; Artiodactyla; Camelidae. The record is from Rfam.